CUUGGGCGUGGACCCUGACCAGACAAACGCAUAGUCCUCAGGAGGCGUGUAAGCGUGGUGGCGGCGCGCGGAGACGAAUGAGGAAGACUGGCAUGACGGGCGCACGAGUAAUCAAGGAAGAUACUCGCUCCGUCUCCCUUGCCAAUAGUUGCUUCACGCCGCGCUGGACGCCAAGGUCUUCCUGUACUCCAAGUUCCCCAGCAGCACCCAGCAGCCUGCGCCUCGCCUCCAUGGCAUCGCACGUGGGGACUUGGGUCAAGCACGAUGAAUUGUGAUGAGACGCAAACUGUGCUGAUGUGGGAUUGUGCUGACGUCACUGGUGUGGUAUAGCGACCACCCUCCGCUGAAACGCAGACAGCGAGGACAGACGCUGCCCAAGAAAGCGAGUCUCUAUCAAUAGAUACACUAAUAUAAGUACGGCCGCAUCAUCUGCCCACGCAACAUAAGUACGACCGCAUCAUCUGCCCACGCAGUCUUUGCCUCGAGCCGCACAAGACCGUGUUCGUGAACGGAUGAUGGAAGUAAAACAAAAUUGUAACACGAAUAAAAAAAAAUAAAAUAAAUAAAUAAAUAAAUAAAAAUAGAGAAAAAAACAAACUGUAAUUCGAGUACAAAAAGAGGCAAGUUGUAAUACGAGUAAGAAAAGAUGGGAAAAAUAAAGGCAAAUUGUAAUACAAGCAAAAAAAAAAAAAGUGGGGAAAAAAUAAACUAAAAUUGUAAUGAAUAGGGGAGGAAAGUAAACUAAAAUUGUAAUCAAAAUGAGGAAGCUCUAAUUGUAAUCAAAACAAUAAUUGAAAUGUAACACUGCGUAAGCCUGCAACAUGAUCAGGCAAAGGGACGCCAGCGUGCCCGCCUUGUGGCCAGCGUGGCUACACUGGGGGAAGCCAAAACUUCUGAUGACCUUGGGGGAAAGGUUCAGGUUCUAGGCGGCGCGUGUCUGGCCGUGUCUCAGGGUGCAUCACAGCUAGUGGAGGAUCGCCUGAAGAUCAAGGUCAGAAGCGUACUCACCGUGGUCUGAAGAAACAAUAGUAAAGUCCGCUGCUUCGCUUGCUUUAAAGUCAUUGUCAUUCAUGCGACCAUUGUGAACCGUGAAUAAGUAUUGGAGAUGCCACGAGGGAGACUUCGUGUCCUCUGUGCCAGCUGGUGGUACCGUAGCGUCAAGCUAACACUGACAAGGGGGAUGCGACUGUUAGUCUUGCAGGUCAGCCAGACACUCCACGCCAGGCUGAUGGGUGUACAAAGAGGCAGUGUGGCGUUUGGCGACAAUGAAUUUAAUCGUUUAAUAAAAUCCUGUGUCAAUUUAACAGUGAAAUGGCGCAGCAGCUUGACAGUCGAGGCGAGGUAGUUACACUAUCUGAUGCGUGACUAAGUCGCGUCACUUAUCAGAGACUUUAAAUCCACUCACAACAAAGAGAGAGAGAGAGAGAGAGAGAGAGAGAGAGAGAGAGAGAGAGAGAGAGAGAGAGAGAGAGAGAGAAACACCAGACUAUUUCCGAUUGUUACUCUAAACUAAUAGAUAUCAAAUUUUGGUCUCAUUUGAUUUAAAAGAUUUUCGUAAUGAGAUUAUCGCUUUUGGUGCACAUCCGCAUUUCCAGUUCAUCAGUAUCAUCAUAACAAUGAAUAACCAUCAGAAUUAGAAUGAACUGUAGAAAUGAAGGGAGACUGUUCAUCACCUUGUUAGUGUGGAGAAGCUAUUCACGGAGCGCUGGUUCUCAACCUGUGGUUCUUGAGAGGAAUUUUGGAUUGACCCCACGAAUACACAGACACUUACUGCUGUCAAUACGUAAGGUACUAAUUAAUUCAUAGCCGCAUUUAAUGAUACAUUUUGAAUACUGAAAGAUAUAUGAGCAGAUUUUUUUUUUUUUCUUCACCGGACACAUUUGGACACAUUUGUUAUUAUUUACUAAUGAAUUCUUGAACGCAAACGUUAUGUUUUGACUGUAUUCUGCUGUAUUCUAAGUAAGGGAUUCGUGGCCACUGCUGAAAGAUUUUAAAGGGUGCAUGAGAUUUAAAAGGUUGAGAACUUCUGCCCAAGAGAACCUGUUUGACAGAGAUGUUUAGGGAAUUUCGUCUCUGAUGUGUUUGUUGCCAGUCUCUUGGACUGUAGGAAAUAAUCCGAUGAGUGGGACCUUCCUGGGACAUGCGGGGGAUAUCAGAGGAGUCGGUGCUUUCCUGACGAGAUCGGUUGUUUAGAAGCUUAAAGAACGUACCAGUUGGCGCCAGACUAAAGAAAAAUCAAGCCAGUAAACUUACUAGUCUGUAGUUCUCCUCGGCUGAAGCGCAGUAGAAGAGACAGAAGUGCUUUUUAACAGGGAACAUCACGUUAACUGAGAUCAAGCACGAAAAAAGGAAAGAAUACAGACAUUGGAGAGAGUCACUGAAAGAAGUCACGAAGAGGUGACGCAUCCACAUGCAAGGACAUGGGAAAGAUAACAGACUGACUAGCACACGAUUAACGAAACUCUGAUUAAAGCAAUUAUAUUUGUUGAACUUAAGUAACUGUCGUUAAGAAGUGUUCUGCUUUGUAUGUAGCAUACAGCAGAGAAUAGACAGCUUGGGUGUGUGCGCCUCAUGUUACAGAGAACGUGAUUAAGAACUCUUCAUUGUUGCGCAGGUGCAGCGCUCUCUCGUAACUCUACCCGGCGCCAUAUUAACUCAGCGAAAUGACUAAUUUUCAGUCGUUAAUUUAGAUCGCGGAGCGCGCACCACCACACAUCGCUUGCAUGAGGGCAGAGAGGACAAGAUGGCCGCGGAGUGAAGUGCGCGUUAGCUUUGGGAUAAUCGGGGCCGGCGCUGCUAAGUCACGAUGCAAUUUGUCCCGAAGAAGAGAUAGACAUAACUUUACAAAAAAGGAGGAUUAGUAUUUCAUUACUGCACAGGGUGUGUUCAGCUCAGCCAUGGGGAGGAAGGGAGGGAGUUCACGAGGUGGUGCAAUUGAUUGUCAUUUGUUUGGCACAUAAGAAGGUGCUGGAGAAGAACUGCGUCUCACGUCCCCGGUGAUCUCGAUUCUUUCCAACGUGUCAAGGAGUCAGGUCAAGGUCAGAGAGAGAGAGAGAGAGAGAGAGAGAGAGAGAGAGAGAGAGAGAGAGAGAGAGAGAGAGAGAGAGAAAGCCCGUUCCAUUAUGCCCCUCCUUAGAAAUUUAUUAUAAAAGGAGACUCGAGUUUGGCUACAAAACCAGAUGUGACUUUAUUUACUUAUUCAUUCAUGAUCAUUUUACUUUUCAAGCUUGCAACGACUAUAGGCGCGUUCCUCGUGGCCUAGAUGAUGGACCUACAUGUAUUUUUGAAGGCUCGGAUG
Scylla paramamosain (green mud crab) is the source of this 3298-nucleotide long non-coding RNA. RefSeq lists it as uncharacterized. The record is from RefSeq and is a predicted model, not a curated record. The transcript is spliced from 3 exons. NCBI's taxonomy places the organism in Eukaryota, Metazoa, Arthropoda, Malacostraca, Decapoda, Portunidae.